RNAcentral lists this ribosomal RNA (250 nucleotides) under uncultured bacterium. RNAcentral describes it as "partial 16S ribosomal RNA". It matches the Rfam family "Bacterial small subunit ribosomal RNA", at positions 524 to 773 of the family's 1533-position model. The record is from RNAcentral.
GACGGAGGGGGCAAGCGUUGUCCGGAAUCACUGGGCGUAAAGAGCGCGUAGGUGGUCGCGUCAGUCGGCGGUGAAAGCCCCCGGCUCAACCGGGGGAGGUCUGCCGAUACUGCGUGACUUGAGGACCGGAGAGGGAAGUGGAAUUCCCGGUGUAGCGGUGAAAUGCGUAGAGAUCGGGAGGAACACCCGUGGCGAAGGCGGCUUCCUGGACGGUCCCUGACGCUGAGGCGCGAAAGCCAGGGGAGCGAAC